GACUUAACUAAAGAGUGUGGUCAAUAACUGUUAGGUGAGCCACAUGAUUUAGAAAUCAAGCCUCUACAAUAUGCUUAGAGCAGUAUUUGGGCAAAGAGUUGUUUAUGUAUCUGUAUGCAUGUUACCAAUAACUGUUAGGUGAGGUACAUGGCAUCGGUGGGACUACAGCAUCCACUAGGAAUUUAGUUAUCGCAUCAAAAUUUUUGUUUCCCACCC
Molecule: long non-coding RNA, 216 nt
Filed under: Elaeis guineensis (African oil palm)
Lineage: Eukaryota; Viridiplantae; Streptophyta; Magnoliopsida; Arecales; Arecaceae
Description: long non-coding RNA (EGUI_LNC068883)
Source: RNAcentral